Molecule: long non-coding RNA, 1486 nt
Organism: Trifolium pratense (red clover)
Lineage: Eukaryota; Viridiplantae; Streptophyta; Magnoliopsida; Fabales; Fabaceae
Exons: 4
Source: RefSeq, a predicted model, not a curated record
UUUAAUAAAAGAAAAAAACUGUAUUGAAAUUUGAAACCCUAGCGUGCCUCUUUUCCUUCACACUCCCUCCUCACGAUGCUCUACAGCGCCUCCCUCUUCAUCUCCGCCACCAUAAACCUCCAUCUUCUCCUCCUUGAUUAGGCAUCGAGACUCUAUUUUCCCCUAUAGCCUCUUACCAUUCAUGACCUUUUUCCCUUUUUGCAACAGCCCCGGCGUUCGUUUUUCACAUCACAAGUGAGAACCAGUCACCACACACAAUCUCUAUAUCGUCCCUCACCGUUAUCUUCUUACAGCCUUCUCUUCCGUUGUGGCAUCUCACUUUUCAGCUACUGAACAAAUAAAGGGGACAACAAAUGAAUGAGGUUUUAACCAUUAACAAUAGUUAUAUCCUUUAAGUUGUAUGAUAAGUUUGUUGAACUGGUGCAGGUUUGUGUUUUGUUUUGGUUUGUGGGUUGCUGUUCUGUAGUAGAAUUUUCUGGUUUUGGGGUACGGCAGCUGCAGAUGAGUCGGAUUACUAGCCUCGUAUCAGGUGUUUCUCUCAUUGUGUACACAUUUUAGGUGACUUUGUUGAUUAUGUGGAAUUGCAUAUCCCUGACUCUUAAGCAUCAAUUAUAAAUAUUAUAGUAUGUGACCAAACCUUCUAAAUUAGUAAUUGUCCUUUUUACCUCUUUUUUUUCCCUACAAUGUUGAACUGUGUGUUUGAUUUUGAUGCAGGGUGGUGGAAAGGUACAGUGGUCCUAUGAAAACUUCCUAAUUUUUCUUAUCGUUUAUCUUUUGUUUGGUUUGUGGUGUAUUAUAGGCAUGCUUAUGCAACAACUUUUCUUCUUUUGUUUAAAUGAGAAUAGGUUGCAGGUGACAGCAUAAACUUACUGAGGAUUCAAUUGAUGUACUUCAUGGGAUAUUUGGUUGGUAGAGGAGUGGAGUUAAAGCCAUUACUUUAUUAUUUAUUAUUUUCCUCUGCAGGAGUAACUGGACUGAUUACCUUUGGUAUUUAAUUUAGAUUUGAAUCCCUUGAAUAGAGUUGAUGCAUGUAGAAGUUUAUUGGGUAGAUGAAAAAGGGAAAAGGAGUGUUGCGUGAACGUCAAACGUUGAAACUCGCUCUGAAAGAUGAAAAAGGGCAAAGGCUGUAAGAUUGAUUGUAUUUGGAGAUUCAACACCAUUUCAUGAGGACGAAGUUUCGAAUGUUCAAGAAAGUUUAGCAAAUUCGAUUCUUGAAUUUAUAUGAAGUAGCCUAAGAUUGUUUAGAUUUAAUUUGGUUAGGCGUGUUUUGGUAGUAGUCUAAGAUUGUGUAGCUUUGCUUAGGCUUGUUUGUGCUUUUGUUUGGAGCAUAAGAUUGUUUAGUUUUAGUAGGAGAUAUUUAGAUCCGAUGGUACUUUCGGAAUAGUAUUUCAUGAAUAUUUUGUAACUUAAUUUAAGUACAAUUUGGUGGUAUGAUAUUUGGUUUUAUGAUAUUUUUUAUUGAAGGUAGUGAUGAAGUUUCGAUUUA